GUGUCAGCAGCCGCGGUAAGACGGAGGGUGCAAGCGUUGCUCGGAAUUACUGGGCGUAAAGCGCGUGUAGGCGGUCCGGUAAGUCGAGUGUGAAAGCCCGAGGCUCAACCUCGGAAGUGCAUUCGAAACUGUCGGACUUGAGUACGGGAGAGGGAAGUGGAAUUCCUGGUGUAGAGGUGAAAUUCGUAGAUAUCAGGAGGAACACCGGUGGCGAAGGCGGCUUCCUGGACCGAUACUGACGCUGAGACGCGAAAGCGUGGGGAGCAAACAGGAUUAGAUACCCGUGUAGUCC
This 292-nucleotide ribosomal RNA is filed under the name uncultured bacterium. Its description in RNAcentral is "partial 16S ribosomal RNA". It matches the Rfam family "Bacterial small subunit ribosomal RNA", at positions 505 to 796 of the family's 1533-position model. The record is from RNAcentral.